This is a long non-coding RNA of Megalobrama amblycephala (Wuchang bream), 3920 nucleotides long. RefSeq lists it as uncharacterized. The transcript has 3 exons. NCBI's taxonomy places the organism in Eukaryota, Metazoa, Chordata, Actinopteri, Cypriniformes, Xenocyprididae. The record is from RefSeq and is a predicted model, not a curated record.
UUUUAUUUGUGUACGCUCACAAUAACAACAAAACCUUGUGCUUUAGUAAAAUUAAAUAAAUAAAAAACAGGGUGAGCUUUUAGAUGUCUCUCUGCGAGAAACGUCUCAAAUGAACUUAAACUCAGCGAAUAAUUGUACCUAAAAAGAAAGAAAUAUCUCAGUUCGAUAAUAAAUUCGUAGGUCUGUGAGAGGCGAUCCGCUGGAAUGUGUCGUUUCUGAAUUUGAUAUUUUAAGGAAUAGAAUACACUCCUGCAUUUAAAUGCAGCUGCAGGAGUUGCAGUUGUUUUUAUAACGUUUUAUUAAUCCGUCCAUUCUUUUUAGUUUCAAUUAUUUAGCUAAAUCGUGCCUUAAUAAUGGGAGCGAAAUUAUUCGGUGACUCACGUUUUACUAAAAUAAAGGAUAUAAUUCAUGAAACACGCAACAAUUUCUUAAUCAGUGUCUAAACAGGCUAUAUUUUUAUUAAGUAGUUAUCUGUCAAAUAAAGAACAGGUAACGAAUAACAAAGAAUGUGCGUGUCAAAAAUCCAUGCUGUUUUAUUAAAGGAGUUUAACAUAUAAAUAAAAAUGUAUUUGUGAUAAAUAUAGGCCUAAUAUGUGAGAAAAUUGACAUUUUGCAUAAAGAUAAAUGUGCUUUGAUGCAUUUGUUGGAUAACUUGUGGUUAAAGCACCACUCAGUGGUCAAAAGGUGCAAAUGCACUUUGCGACACGGCGGCGGCGGUAGAAACGCCGUUUUGGAUGGCCACCUACUGUAGCUUCUUAUAUUUUUCAGCAGAGACAGUACAGAGAUCAUAGAGAAGCUGGCAGAGAAAAUUGAUGAAAGCAGAGUAUCCUAUUUUAAUAUUAGUAGAAAACAUAUCUGGGAAAGUGCAAGACUCACAAUGUCCAUGAAGUCAUUCUGCCCAUCGAAGAGGAUUGAUGUCAAAUUUAUGGAUGACCUGGGGGCAAGUGAGGGAGCAAUAGAUUCUGGUGGGCCAAGGAGGGAGUUCCUCACUCUGCUUAUGGAGAACCUUAAACAGGGGGCAUUAUUUGUUGGUCCUGAUGAAGCCAAAUUCCUGAAUUUCAACAGUAGAUCAAUGCAGAAUGAUGAUUACUUCUAUGCUGGUGUUGCUAUUGCUCUCUCCAUUGUGCAUGGGGACCAGGACCACAGUUCAUUUCACCUAGCCUCUUUAAAGCACUGACGGCUAACCCUGAGGCCACAGUCAUUUCUGUUGAAGAGGUUACAGAUCCGAUGCUUUGCACCAACUUGCAAAGAGUACGUGCUGUUGUGGGCCGUGUGAUUCAUGUAAGUGAUGUCACAGAAACUGUUGAAUGCAGGGGCUCAUGUAUGGAGACACAGGCCUGUUACAUUGAGGAUUCUGGUGGAAAUAUCAAGCUUCAGCUCUGGGAUAAACUGAUUGGGAGGGUUGUUGUUGGGCAAACCUACAAGUGGUCGAAUCUUAGCACCAGGAUGUUUGGUGGCAAACUGUAUGUGACAACCACGCGCCACAGCGAAAUUGAAUUAAUGGAUCCAUUGCCUGGCUUGAAAAAGGAAAUCGACUUCCAUAUUGACGAAGGUGAGGUAAACAUAAGUGAGGGCAAGAUCACGUCUGUCGAGGUUGUGGUGUCCAGACGCUGUUGCAGAUGUCAAGCAUGGCAAGAGGAUUUUGAGGCGAAGGCCAAAUUUCAUAGAUGUGUACGUUGCAAAAGAUUGCAAAUUUUGCAGAUGUACGAAUCUACAGUCAGUGCUUCUCUGACACUAUCUGGAAAAUCUGAGGAAGAAUUGAUGGUGCCAAAUACAGUUGUCAAAAGGUAUGAUUUGUAUAUGUAUGUUAUUGUAAUUAUAAUUGUGUAGUGUUUUGAUACUGUCAUAAUUUACAUGUACAUAGGGAAAAAAAAAGUGUGCUGUAUGCCCAGUGUGUGUUAGGGAGUUUAACAUAAAAACAUCCAAAAAGUUUGGUGUUUUGGGACUGUUCAGCAGUGAAUAGAUUUUCAAAUUUCUUGCUACUUCAUUGGCAAGUACAUUGAUAUUAGGUCAAAUAAGAAUGUAUUUAUUUUGUUGUAUGAAGAAAUAGUACUUUCAUUUUUAUAAAUGGAAAGAUGAGUUUUAUUAGGUUGUGCACAAAGGUAAUUUCAACCUCAAAUCAAUAGGUUUAGAAAGACUGCUAGAUUUAAGUACAAAAUCAUUAUUUUAACCAUUAGUGUGGUACUAUUUAAGUUAUUUGUUUCACUGAGGAAUCACUUUAACUUAAAUUCACAAACUUUAUAAAUUUUAUUUUUUAUAGUAAACACUUUAACAAGGGUUUUUAGUUUUUGUCUUUUUUUAUUGUAAAAAUGUACAUGCAGUAAUGUAUUUUCUAAUUAGAGUUUAAUAUUGAAAUUGGAACUAUUAAAAUGCAACAUUUAUUAAAUAUGUAAAUUUAGAUUUUGGAGGGUUUAAUAGGUAAAUUUGUCUGAAGUAUAAAACUUUAGGAAUCUUUUUAUAAUGUAAAGAAACGUAUUUAUAAAACACUAUUUUGUCUAACUAAUAUAGCAUAAUCAGAUGCAGCUUUAUUUUUACUAAUAGUAAUAUAGAAGUUUGUCCAUCAUAGUAUGUUAAAAUGAAUUGCAUGCCAUUUAUCAAUGGGAGUUUGUAUAGUUGUAUAGUACUUAUUUUAUGAUCAUUAAUCAAUAAUUAAAGUGAUUGCUAAAUUAUAAUAAAAGAGAAUUGCUUGUAAUGCUGUAGUAUGAAUUUUGUUAAAUUUUAAAUUUGGAAUAUAAAAGUAGUGGUAUUUUAUAUGUAGCCUAAUUGUUGUACAAUUAGUAGUUAAUAUGCAAGUAAUAAAUUAUAAAUCAGUGGAAAGGCUGAACAUUUUAGAUAAAAAUAUUUUAAGAGAUUAUAAAUGUAUGUAGUUAAAUUAUGAUGUAUGCAAAGUCAAGUAGUGGGUUAGUGCAGUAGGGUACUUGUAAUGUAUUAUUUUUUGCAAGUUUUAGCUUCAGAGAAAAAUGCUAUUGUCAAAUAGGAAAUGUUUCUGUUAUAAUAAUCAAGGUUAAUCUUAUCUAUGUGUAGUUGUAGUGAUAUGUAUUGAUGUUUGCCACUAGGUUAUAAUAAAAUGUUAAGUGUUUUGUACAGAAAUUUUUAUAUUGUAUUUGAAAACUAAGGGUUUUUUUUUUAUUCAAUAAUGGUUAUGGGUCUUCAUUCAUGUAAACAGUAAUAUAUGUAAGUAAAGAGUUUGGUAUGUAAAGGAAAUGAGUUUGAGUUUAAUUGGAAUGAAGAGAUUUAUUUUAAAGUACUAUUAUCAUUUUUAUGUUUUUUUUUUUGUUUUGUUUUGUUUUUUUUUAGUUUGGCAGUCAUAAUUGUAAAUUAUAACAAUAUUGCAUAUGCAAAUAUUGCAAUGCAAGUACAUAGGGUUAAUGAAUGUAAUGAUCAAAAUUUGAUUAGCUGGUAUUGAGAUGAUGGUUAAAAUUCUAAUUACGGUUUAUGAAAGAAUUUAAAUGGAAGUUUUGGUUUUAUGUGUAGGUGUAAAAUGUUUUUUGCAAAUUUCUAUUUUUUUUUUUAAUUUUUUUUUAAUUCUUUAUUUUUGAAACAUUGGGAACAAUACAAUAGCCAAAUUGACAUAACCUCAUGGUCACAGUUCCAGUCUGUGAUCUAGAUCAAGGUUCUCUAUUCCCAACAUUCCCAUUUUUGUAAGUAUAAUAAGAACAUAUUAGAACACAAACAAAGGGUGCAUUACUAUAAUACAAAUCUCUAAUACAUAUAAAACAAAAGAUAACACAAUUAUUUUGUUAAUAAACGAUACAUACAAUACAGUACAAUAAAAUCAACCCUUGAUUACCAUUAUCUUUGCAACUUUCAGGACAACAUUCCUGCAUGUUGUGUUUGAUUAACAUAGGAUACCCAUUUUGACCAUAAGACUGAAAAUCUAUUCAUCUGCAAGCGGAGUGAGAAUGUUAGUCUUUCCAUCU